GGUUCCUUAGCUCAGUUGGUUAGAGUGCUGCCUUGACAUGGCAGAGGUCGUUGGUUCGAUUCCAACAGGAACCACCA
Molecule: transfer RNA, 77 nt
Filed under: Bacillota bacterium
Lineage: Bacteria; Bacillati; Bacillota
Also listed under: 1 other name
Description: Firmicutes bacterium (anaerobic digester metagenome) tRNA-Val
Rfam family: tRNA
About the family: Transfer RNA (tRNA) molecules are approximately 80 nucleotides in length. Their secondary structure includes four short double-helical elements and three loops (D, anti-codon, and T loops). Further hydrogen bonds mediate the characteristic L-shaped molecular structure. tRNAs have two regions of fundamental functional importance: the anti-codon, which is responsible for specific mRNA codon recognition, and the 3' end, to which the tRNAs corresponding amino acid is attached (by aminoacyl-tRNA synthetases). tRNAs cope with the degeneracy of the genetic code in two manners: having more than one tRNA (with a specific anti-codon) for a particular amino acid; and 'wobble' base-pairing, i.e. permitting non-standard base-pairing at the 3rd anti-codon position.
Source: RNAcentral